AGUCGUCUCAUGGCACCCCGGAGUAUUCCCUUAUCGGCGACUUCCACAAAGAAAGUCUUAUUGGGCGCAUGUGAGAUUCGGUUGAAAAUGGUUAUACUGAUUGAGUAUGCCAAUUCUGAAAAUCCAACACAAAUCGCAAAGAAAUAGGGCGGCCAGAGUUAUCACAGAGACCACAGUCAUCCCUGCCAAGGCCAUUCUGCCUGCCGUGUUGGUCUGCGGCUCCCUGUCGUCACCUGUCCUCUAUUUAUACCAUCGCUGUCACCAUGGCUGCCAGGUGAACGUUUCUCAGUUGAGAAUCAGCUACCCUUUGUGCAGCGGCCACCCCAGAUUUUUUUUUGGGGGGGGAAUGAAGACUGUCAGAAACUUUUACAAAGUGCAUGAAAUAAGCUAUUUUUAAACUAAUAAGACACUUCUGAUCUGUAUAAGUUGCUUUAUUUCCCCAAUACAUUUUACCCUCUUUUUUAAUAUACAGCACAACUGUGAGAAAUGCAGCUUCAAAACAAAAGUUUUCCACAGUUUCCAUGUCAGCUACAAAAUAGCCUAAAUAUCUUCAUAUCUAAGGCUUUUGAAAUCAUUGUGUCCCAUUGAAAACCCAAUGCUGGCUAUUUUCUUCUGUGUUGGUAUCUGAUCAUGGCACGUCUUCUACAAAAACAUGGAAGGGUUUGUGAAAAUUGCCUGACAUACAAGUCUUAGUGCCCAUGUUCAUCCCUGUCCACUGUCAAAAGUGCCUGCAAUAGGCAUGAGAGUGUCAGAACUGCUCCUCGGAUCAAUGGAGGAAGAUUGCCUGCUCCCAUUUCUUGUUGCAUCAUGUGGACAAUUGUGUAUGUGUCAGGCACCUGUGGAAUGUGUUGGAACCACAUGUCCAAGCAGGGCUCAAUGUGCUGAGUCACAACACAUGACUCCUGUGACCAUCAUUAAAAUUAUGUGCCAUUUGUG
Paramormyrops kingsleyae is the source of this 936-nucleotide long non-coding RNA. RefSeq lists it as uncharacterized. Lineage: Eukaryota; Metazoa; Chordata; Actinopteri; Osteoglossiformes; Mormyridae. The record is from RefSeq and is a predicted model, not a curated record.